Molecule: unclassified non-coding RNA, 1748 nt
Filed under: Acyrthosiphon pisum (pea aphid)
Lineage: Eukaryota; Metazoa; Arthropoda; Insecta; Hemiptera; Aphididae
Description: uncharacterized LOC115033027, transcript variant X2
Source: RNAcentral
UUUAAAAUAAUAUGUUUAGCUAUGGAACAGAGUAUAACUAUUCGAAACCCUACGAAAAUUCCUUGUCAAGUCAAAACGAAAACUAGAUAUCACGGCUAUUCUGUGCCGGGCAAAAUAGACAACGCCUACGGAGAUGACAUGGAAAUUGCAACGAUAAAACGUUGUUCGAUAUGGAUAGAAAGAGAUGACGAGAUUUCCUACGGGCAGGAUGAAUUCAAAGUGUCUGUAUGGGUGUUGGCCACGACUUGGGGUCGGUAUGAGGACGUGGUGACUAUUGAAUUACACGUAGGACUCGAUAUUCUACCGGCCAUCCACAUACCACUCAUCAUCAAAGCUAUUACGUUCCCCAUACAAUACCCUUUAGCUAAAGACGUUCACAAACCAACCAUCAACUUCAGCCUCUACUCGAUGGAGUCAGAAAACCGAUUACAAAUCUUGAAUAAUAGUGAAAUUCCGAUCAAAAUAUCUUGGCGCAUAUAUAACGAAAGUAAAGAAAAUAAACCGUUUGGAGUAUUAAUUGACACAUUAACUCCUGACUAUCCAGACCAUUGGUCUUUGAGAAUUACCAGUUACGACGGGUUAGAAAAUCCUCGAUAUUUUAUAAUCGAGCCUAUUAUUUUGAAAUUAGAACCAAAAACACUAGGAUAUGUAACAUUUUCCUUAGAUCGGACUAAAGAACUAUCCAUAAACCGUAAUAAAAAUAAUAAUAUAGUAAAUGGAAAAGCGGUUGGAAUAGUAACUGCUCUUGAACCAUCUGGAAAAUAUUGCAUAAGAAAAGACGGAUUUAAAAUGAAAUCCACAGUUGUAAAACUUUACUCUGAAACAAGACAUUCGAUACAACCAAACUUAGUCAUACGAGAGUCGGAUAAUAUUUUCCAAGUGUCAGCAUCGGAAAUGUAUAACUGUCGAUCAGAGAAUUAUACGGUAACUCGGUUGUUUACCAUGUGUAAUGACUUACAAUAUCCUGGAAACCUUUCAUUCGAAAUUGGUAGUCCAUUCUCCAUAAAGAGUUUGAGAUCACUAAGAUGUGGUAUUCGUUCCGGAAAAGAUCAUAUUCGUUUGUUUCAUAAGGAUUUGGUUGAAAUCGAACUGCAAGCUAUUAUAAAUAUAAAACAAGUUCAUCCGCCAAAAAUGCCUACUGAAUUAAUAUCACCCAGAAAAUUCGAGAGAACAGGAUACUUAAACGCUGUUUAUGAAAACAGUUAUUUUAAACCUAAGACGAUUGCUACGUUCAAAAUGCACAUAUACUUCCCCGUACUAAAGCUGUCGACGAGCUACAUAAAUUUUGGUCAAGUGGUCGUAACGGAGACUAAAAGCAUAAACGUGAUGUUAUCUUCUUAUCCAGGUCCUGAACGGUUUUUUGCACGAUCCGCAGACGAAGUGUUCACAGUAUCACCACCAGAUGGUGUCGCAUCGACCAGGCCGACCCCACUCACAAUCACGUUUAAACCCAAUGCAUUUUUAUGGGUUUUAAGUCACUUUUUCAACAUUUUAUCGAAUCAAGUUUGCACAUAUGACGUCAGUUGACGUGGAACAAAUUUUUUCGAGAUACAAAACAACACUGGCCGAUAACCAUCGAAGAUUUCUGUUUGAGAAUAUUAAGCAGCACCUGAUUAUACAGUGCUAUGAAACAUAAGGGUAAAAAGAAGAUGGACAGAAGAUAAUUGAGAGUAAAUUAAUUAAGGUUUUAUUGUAUUUAAAUAUUUUUUAUCAGAUUUUUCAUAAUAAUGUGUUUUUUUUAUAAGUUU